Molecule: ribosomal RNA, 253 nt
Filed under: uncultured bacterium
Lineage: Bacteria
Description: partial 16S ribosomal RNA
Rfam family: Bacterial small subunit ribosomal RNA
Source: RNAcentral
UACGGGGGGGGCAAGCGUUGUUCGGAAUUACUGGGCGUAAAGGGCGCGUAGGCGGCUCGCUAAGUCGGGUGUGAAAACUCUGGGCUCAACCCAGAGCCUGCAUUCGAAACUGACGGGCUAGAGUUCUGGAGGGGAAAGCGGAAUUCCUGGUGUAGCAGUGAAAUGCGUAGAUAUCGGGAGGAACACCGGUGGCGAAGGCGGCGACCUGGGUAGAUACUGACGCUGAGGUGCGAAAGCGUGGGGAGCAAACAGG